GCGGAGGAAAAGAAACCAACAGGGAUUGCCUCAGUAGCGGCGAGUGAAGCGGCAAAAGCUCAAAUUUGAAAUCUGGCGUCUUUGGCGUCCGAGUUGUAAUUUGAAGAAGGUAUCUUUGGGCCCGGCUCUUGUCUAUGUUCCUUGGAACAGGACGUCACAGAGGGUGAGAAUCCCGUGCGAUGAGAUGACCCGGGUCUGUGUAAAGUUCCUUCGACGAGUCGAGUUGUUUGGGAAUGCAGCUCUAAGUGGGUGGUAAAUUCCAUCUAAAGCUAAAUAUUGGCGAGAGACCGAUAGCGAACAAGUACAGUGAUGGAAAGAUGAAAAGAACUUUGAAAAGAGAGUGAAAAAGUACGUGAAAUUGUUGAAAGGGAAGGGCUUGAGAUCAGACUUGGUAUUUUGCAUGCUGCUCUCUCGGGGGCGGCCGCUGCGGUUUACCGGGCCAGCAUCGGUUUGGAGCGGCAGGAUAAUGGCGGAGGAAUGUGGCACGGCUUCUGCUGUGUGUUAUAGCCUCUGACGAUACUGCCAGCCUAGACCGAGGACUGC
This 543-nucleotide ribosomal RNA is filed under the name Candida albicans. RNAcentral describes it as "LSU rRNA". It matches the Rfam family "Eukaryotic large subunit ribosomal RNA", at positions 50 to 569 of the family's 3401-position model. Lineage: Eukaryota; Fungi; Ascomycota; Pichiomycetes; Serinales; Debaryomycetaceae. The record is from RNAcentral.